UUUUGGAAUAUUUAAAAAUUAACUUUUAGGUGAAGAGGCCUAAAUUUGUUUAAGGGACAAGAAGACCCUGUUGAGCUUUAGUAAAAUUAUAAGUGAAUGGAACUUGUGUGGCUCGCUGCACUAGUUAUUAUGUAGUUGCUAUAAUAAUAGGCUUGUAAUUAAUCUUUAGUUGGGGCGACUGAGGAACAUGUAAAGCUUCCUUAUUUUAUGUACAUUAAUGUCAUGUUGUAAGUUUUUAAAUGUUUUUGUAUUAUUUUGAUCCAAUUUGUUUUGAUUAAAAGAAAAAGUUACCACAGGGAUAACAGCGUAAUCUUUCUGGAGAGAUCUAAUCGAAAGAAGGGUUUGCGACCUCGAUGUUGGACUAAGAUAUCCUAAGGGUGCAGAAGCUCUUAAAGGUUGGUCUGUUCGACCAUUAAAAUCUU
Molecule: ribosomal RNA, 422 nt
Filed under: Jujubinus exasperatus
Lineage: Eukaryota; Metazoa; Mollusca; Gastropoda; Trochida; Trochidae
Description: partial 16S ribosomal RNA
Rfam family: Bacterial large subunit ribosomal RNA
Source: RNAcentral